Gossypium arboreum is the source of this 167-nucleotide non-coding RNA. NCBI's taxonomy places the organism in Eukaryota, Viridiplantae, Streptophyta, Magnoliopsida, Malvales, Malvaceae. The record is from Rfam.
ACUUUUUAAGUUUGCUGUCAAAUCUCAAGGCUCAACCCUAGACAGGCGGUGGAAACUACCAUGCUGGAGUACGGUAGGGGUAGAGGGAAUUUUUGGUGGAACGGUGAAAUGCGUAGAGAUCGAAAAGAACACCAACGACGAAAGCACUCUACUGGGCUGACACUGAC